This 1539-nucleotide ribosomal RNA is filed under the name Pseudomonas syringae pv. actinidiae. RNAcentral's name for it is "bacterial SSU rRNA". It matches the Rfam family "Bacterial small subunit ribosomal RNA". The record is from RNAcentral. Lineage: Bacteria; Pseudomonadati; Pseudomonadota; Gammaproteobacteria; Pseudomonadales; Pseudomonadaceae.
GAACUGAAGAGUUUGAUCAUGGCUCAGAUUGAACGCUGGCGGCAGGCCUAACACAUGCAAGUCGAGCGGCAGCACGGGUACUUGUACCUGGUGGCGAGCGGCGGACGGGUGAGUAAUGCCUAGGAAUCUGCCUGGUAGUGGGGGAUAACGCUCGGAAACGGACGCUAAUACCGCAUACGUCCUACGGGAGAAAGCAGGGGACCUUCGGGCCUUGCGCUAUCAGAUGAGCCUAGGUCGGAUUAGCUAGUUGGUGAGGUAAUGGCUCACCAAGGCGACGAUCCGUAACUGGUCUGAGAGGAUGAUCAGUCACACUGGAACUGAGACACGGUCAAGACUCCUACGGGAGGCAGCAGUGGGGAAUAUUGGACAAUGGGCGAAAGCCUGAUCCAGCCAUGCCGCGUGUGUGAAGAAGGUCUUCGGAUUGUAAAGCACUUUAAGUUGGGAGGAAGGGCAGUUACCUAAUACGUAUCUGUUUUGACGUUACCGACAGAAUAAGCACCGGCUAACUCUGUGCCAGCAGCCGCGGUAAUACAGAGGGUGCAAGCGUUAAUCGGAAUUACUGGGCGUAAAGCGCGCGUAGGUGGUUUGUUAAGUUGAAUGUGAAAUCCCCGGGCUCAACCUGGGAACUGCAUCCAAAACUGGCAAGCUAGAGUAUGGUAGAGGGUGGUGGAAUUUCCUGUGUAGCGGUGAAAUGCGUAGAUAUAGGAAGGAACACCAGUGGCGAAGGCGACCACCUGGACUGAUACUGACACUGAGGUGCGAAAGCGUGGGGAGCAAACAGGAUUAGAUACCCUGGUAGUCCACGCCGUAAACGAUGUCAACUAGCCGUUGGGAGCCUUGAGCUCUUAGUGGCGCAGCUAACGCAUUAAGUUGACCGCCUGGGGAGUACGGCCGCAAGGUUAAAACUCAAAUGAAUUGACGGGGGCCCGCACAAGCGGUGGAGCAUGUGGGUUAAUUCGAAGCAACGCGAAGAACCUUACCAGGCCUUGACAUCCAAUGAAUCCUUUAGAGAUAGAGGAGUGCCUUCGGGAGCAUUGAGACAGGUGCUGCAUGGCUGUCGUCAGCUCGUGUCGGGAGAUGUUGGGUUAAGUCCCGUAACGAGCGCAACCCUUGUCCUUAGUUACCAGCACGUAAUGGUGGGCACUCUAAGGAGACUGCCGGUGACAAACCGGAGGAAGGUGGGGAUGACGUCAAGUCAUCAUGGCCCUUACGGCCUGGGCUACACACGUGCUACAAUGGUCGGUACAGAGGGUUGCCAAGCCGCGAGGUGGAGCUAAUCUCACAAAACCGAUCGUAGUCCGGAUCGCAGUCUGCAACUCGACUGCGUGAAGUCGGAAUCGCUAGUAAUCGCGAAUCAGAAUGUCGCGGUGAAUACGUUCCCGGGCCUUGUCCAAACCGCCCGUCACACCAUGGGAGUGGGUUGCACCAGAAGUAGCUAGUCUAACCUUCGGGGGGACGGUUACCACGGUGUGAUUCAUGACUGGGGUGAAGUCGUAACAAGGUAGCCGUAGGGGAACCUGCGGCUGGAUCACCUCCUUA